This 610-nucleotide ribosomal RNA is filed under the name Glomus sp. ZJ. RNAcentral describes it as "SSU rRNA". It matches the Rfam family "Eukaryotic small subunit ribosomal RNA", at positions 644 to 1255 of the family's 1831-position model. The record is from RNAcentral. Lineage: Eukaryota; Fungi; Glomeromycota; Glomeromycetes; Glomerales; Glomeraceae.
GGGUUAGUAGGUUGGUCAUGCCUCUGGUAUGUACUGGUCUCACUGAUUCCUCCUUCCUGAUGAUCCGUAAUGCCAUUUAUUUGGUGUUGCGGGGAAUUUGGACUGUUACUUUGAAAAAAUUAGAGUGUUUAAAGCAAGCUAACGCUUGAAUACAUUAGCAUGGAAUAAUGAAAUAGGACGUUCGAUCCUAUUUUGUUGGUUUCUAGGAUUGACGUAAUGAUUAAUAGGGAUAGUUGGGGGCAUUAGUAUUCAAUUGUCAGAGGUGAAAUUCUUGGAUUUAUUGAAGACUAACUACUGCGAAAGCAUUUGCCAAGGAUGUUUUCAUUAAUCAAGAACGAAAGUUAGGGGAUCGAAGACGAUCAGAUACCGUCGUAGUCUUAACCAUAAACUAUGCCGACUAGGGAUCGGAUGAUGUUAAUUUUUUAAUGACUCAUUCGGCGCCUUACGGGAAACCAAAGUGUUUGGGUUCCGGGGGGAGUAUGGUCGCAAGGCUGAAACUUAAAGGAAUUGACGGAAGGGCACCACCAGGGGUGGAGCCUGCGGCUUAAUUUGACUCAACACGGGGAAACUCACCAGGUCCAGACAUAGUAAGGAUUGACAGAUUGAGAGC